This 669-nucleotide ribosomal RNA is filed under the name Vibrio sp. MR06-94. RNAcentral describes it as "bacterial SSU rRNA". It matches the Rfam family "Bacterial small subunit ribosomal RNA", at positions 32 to 685 of the family's 1533-position model. The record is from RNAcentral. Lineage: Bacteria; Pseudomonadati; Pseudomonadota; Gammaproteobacteria; Vibrionales; Vibrionaceae.
GACGGUCUUGGUGGCCUUGAUGCAGUCGAGCGGAAACGACAACAUUGACCCUUCGGGUGAUUUGUUGGGCGUCGAGCGGCGGACGGGUGAGUAAUGCCUGGGAAAUUGCCCUGAUGUGGGGGAUAACCAUUGGAAACGAUGGCUAAUACCGCAUAACGUCUACGGACCAAAGAGGGGGACCUUCGGGCCUCUCGCUUCAGGAUAUGCCCAGGUGGGAUUAGCUAGUUGGUGAGGUAAUGGCUCACCAAGGCGACGAUCCCUAGCUGGUCUGAGAGGAUGAUCAGCCACACUGGAACUGAGACACGGUCCAGACUCCUACGGGAGGCAGCAGUGGGGAAUAUUGCACAAUGGGCGCAAGCCUGAUGCAGCCAUGCCGCGUGUAUGAAGAAGGCCUUCGGGUUGUAAAGUACUUUCAGUCGUGAGGAAGGCGUUGAAGUUAAUAGCUUCAUCGUUUGACGUUAGCGACAGAAGAAGCACCGGCUAACUCCGUGCCAGCAGCCGCGGUAAUACGGAGGGUGCGAGCGUUAAUCGGAAUUACUGGGCGUAAAGCGCAUGCAGGUGGUUUGUUAAGUCAGAUGUGAAAGCCCGGGGCUCAACCUCGGAACCGCAUUUGAAACUGGCAGGCUAGAGUACUGUAGAGGGGGGUAGAAUUUCAGGUGUAGCGGUGAA